Molecule: transfer RNA, 72 nt
Filed under: Epimedium mikinorii
Lineage: Eukaryota; Viridiplantae; Streptophyta; Magnoliopsida; Ranunculales; Berberidaceae
Description: tRNA-Asn
Rfam family: tRNA
About the family: Transfer RNA (tRNA) molecules are approximately 80 nucleotides in length. Their secondary structure includes four short double-helical elements and three loops (D, anti-codon, and T loops).
Source: RNAcentral
CUUCCUCAGUAGCUCAGCGGUAGAGCGAUCGGCUGUUAACUGAUUGGUCGUAGGUUCGAAUCCUACUUGGGG